Molecule: ribosomal RNA, 549 nt
Filed under: uncultured Glomus
Lineage: Eukaryota; Fungi; Glomeromycota; Glomeromycetes; Glomerales; Glomeraceae
Description: SSU rRNA
Rfam family: Eukaryotic small subunit ribosomal RNA
Source: RNAcentral
UUGGAGGGCAAGUCUGGUGCCAGCAGCCGCGGUAAUUCCAGCUCCAAUAGCGUAUAUUAAAGUUGUUGCAGUUAAAACGCUCGUAGUUGAAUUUCGGGAUCAAAUAAUCGGUCGUGCCUCCGGUACGUACUGGUUUUAUUGGUUCCUCCCUUCUGACGAACCAUGAUGUCAUUAAUUUGAUGUGGUGGAGAAUCAGGACUGUUACCUUGAAAAAAUUAGAGUGUUUAAAGCAGGCUAACGCUUGAAUACAUUAGCAUGGAAUAAUGAAAUAGGACGUUCGACCCUAUUUUGUCGGUUUCUAGGAUCGACGUAAUGAUUAAUAGGGAUAGUUGGGGGCAUUAGUAUUCAAUUGUCGGAGGUGAAAUUCUUGGAUUUAUUGAAGACUAACUACUGCGAAAGCAUUUGCCAAGGAUGUUUUCAUUAAUCAAGAACGAAAGUUAGGGGAUCGAAGACGAUCAGAUACCGUCGUAGUCUUAACCAUAAACUAUGCCGACUAGGGAUCGGAUGAUGUUAAUUUUUUAAUGACUCAUUCGGCGCCUUACGGGAAAC